Molecule: long non-coding RNA, 1457 nt
Filed under: Ananas comosus (pineapple)
Lineage: Eukaryota; Viridiplantae; Streptophyta; Magnoliopsida; Poales; Bromeliaceae
Description: long non-coding RNA (ACOM_LNC031389)
Source: RNAcentral
UAUUAAAAUAAUAUCUAAUAUUCCAUUCAAAACUUUUGAAAUAUCUUAUAUACCCUUUUUUUUGUUUCAAAUAUACCCCUUGUAUAUUUCUCCGAUAUUCAAAAAUAUUCUUGCUGUUAAUACCAAUUAAGAAUCUCGGGUUAAACACAGGUUAAAUUUUUAUUAUAAUUAAAAAGAGUCAAAUACCUUUUUCUCUAACUAAAGGGCAAAUAAAAAAAGUUUGUGAUAGUAGAAGAGUAUAUUUGAAAAGCUAAAAAGUCAAAAUACAUCAUCAGCCCUUAACUUAAGGACAAAUAAGAAAAGUGAGUGACAUUAGAAUUGUAGAAGGUAUAUUUGAAAGGAAAAAUUAAUAAUUUCAUAAAUAUAACAGUUGUUGCUAAAAUUCAUUAACAGAAUUUAAUUUCUAUAAAUGUAUUUGAAAUAAAUUGAAAUAUUUUAAAAAAUAUUUUUAAUAUUAGUUCUCUAAAAGAGAUAAAAAAGAAAGUGAAAAACUUCUCGGGUGCGUUUGGUUUGCGCUAUCUUUUAAGAUUCCUAAUAAUCCAAUAGGAAUAAAAAAAUAUGACGGUGUUUGGCUAAACGCACAAAGUAAUCUAGUUGGUAAUACUGGAUUUACUUGGGAAUGAGAUGCAUCCCAGAGUACUAAUCUCAUUCCUUUGAGGGAGGAUGGGUAUCCUUAUAUUAAUGGAUUGGAAUUAUUAUAAUAUGUCUAAUCUCUUUUUUUCUUUCCUACCCGCCGGCUAGUUGGUAUUAUUUUUCUUUAUACUCUAACCUCAUAUCUCUCUCUAAACUUAUCUUUUUAUUUCUAAACUUCAACCCUUUUUUCUCUCUCUAAAUUAAGCUAUUUCUCAACCUCUUUUUCUAAAAUCUCAACCCUCUCAUUCUCUCUAACCUCGACUAUAUUUCUCUUCCUAUUUCUUUAAUUAUGCUAUCUCUUUCUAACCUAUAUUCUCUCUCUCUUUUUUUCUAAAAAGAUGUUGAAAUUUUUUAUAGUAUUAUUUAAAAUUAAAUAAAUAAAUAAAUAAAUUGUAUAUAUUUUUCGUAAUCUUAAAUAACAUGACUAAAUAAUAUGACCGAACAAACCAAACACCGAAAUACUACAUUCUUAGUAAUAGGAUGAAUAGGAAUAAGAUUCUCCGAUAUCUUUUUACUCCUAGUAAUCUUUCAUAGUGAGAACCAAACGCGCCCUUCAGGGUAUAUAUCACACCUCGGAUUAUCACGUUUGCCCGGGCACGCCAACAGACCCACCAUAUACAUAGAAAUUUUUCGUGUAUACGAAGCGAUAGCUGUACCUGUAAUCAAAUCAUAGCUACAACCAAGAGUAUAGAGCUACUAGAACUAAAACAUAUAUAAAAUAUAAAGGGUUCAAUGUACAUACAAAGUCCACAAUAACAUCUCGCUCCAGCGAGUACCACAACUACAUAACAAUAUGUACAUAAAACCCAAAACUACCUCUGAUU